GCCGGGCGCGGUGGCUCACGCCUGUAAUCCCAGCACUGGGAGGCCGAGGCGGGUGGAUCACCUGAGGUCAGGAGUUUGAGACCAGCCUAACCAACAUGGUGAAAACCCGUCUCUA
Unclassified non-coding RNA from Pongo abelii (Sumatran orangutan), 115 nucleotides. It matches the Rfam family "Metazoan signal recognition particle RNA". From Rfam's summary of the family: The signal recognition particle (SRP) is a universally conserved ribonucleoprotein. It is involved in the co-translational targeting of proteins to membranes. Lineage: Eukaryota; Metazoa; Chordata; Mammalia; Primates; Hominidae. The record is from Ensembl.